Molecule: non-coding RNA, 30 nt
Filed under: Homo sapiens (human)
Lineage: Eukaryota; Metazoa; Chordata; Mammalia; Primates; Hominidae
Source: RNAcentral
UAGAAAAUAAACUUUGCCCAAUCACAACUU